This 775-nucleotide ribosomal RNA is filed under the name uncultured Neocallimastigales. RNAcentral's name for it is "partial large subunit ribosomal RNA". It matches the Rfam family "Eukaryotic large subunit ribosomal RNA", at positions 24 to 643 of the family's 3401-position model. The record is from RNAcentral. Lineage: Eukaryota; Fungi; Neocallimastigomycota; Neocallimastigomycetes; Neocallimastigales.
UUAUGUGAUCGUCUCUCGCAUAUCAAUAAGCGGAGGAAAAGAAACUAACAAGGAUUCCCCUAGUAACGGCGAGUGAAGCGGGAAGAGCUCAAAUUUGAAAUCUUAAAGGGUUUCCCUUUACGAAUUGUAGUUUAAAGAAGUGUUUUCUGUUGAGGUUUUGGUAAAAGUUCUUUGGAAUAGGACAUCAUAGAGGGUGAGAAUCCCGUAUUUGACCUUUACUUUCAACUUUGUGAUACACUUUCAAAGAGUCGGAUUGUUUGGGAAUGCAGUCCAAAAUGGGUGGUAAAUUUCAUCUAAAGCUAAAUAUUGGCGAGAGACCGAUAGCGAACAAGUACCGUGAGGGAAAGAUGAAAAGAACUUUGAAAAGAGAGUUAAACAGUACGUGAAAUUGUCAAAAGGGAGGCGUUUGACACCAGUGUUGUUUUUCUGAAAAUCAAUUAAAGAACUGUUUAUGCUAAGUUGUUUAGACUUUAUCAGCUAACUGUUUAGUUUUGAGCUUUUCUUUAAUGCACUUUUCAGUUAACAAGUCAACAUCAAUUUCUUUUGCUGUAAAAAAGCUUGAGGAAGGUGGCUUGAGAUUCGUCUUAAGUGUUUAUAGCCUCUUGCCUAUGCAGUCGGAGAGAUUGAGGUCUGCAGCGUAGAUCCUUCGGGGCUAGAUGCAUUUGUGCUAAGUUAUAACAUUUUAUAGACAACUUGUUGACUAUGAUUUGUCUUGUAGCUUACUCGCUUAUGUUAUUUUACCUACGCUUAGGAUGUUGACACACGCGCGUGCUCG